This 227-nucleotide unclassified non-coding RNA is filed under the name uncultured Laccaria. RNAcentral's name for it is "sequence contains ITS1". Lineage: Eukaryota; Fungi; Basidiomycota; Agaricomycetes; Agaricales; Tricholomataceae. The record is from RNAcentral.
UUGAAUAAACCUGAUGUGACUGUUAGCUGGCUUUUUGAAGCAUGUGCUCGUCCAUCAUCUUUAUCUCUCCACCUGUGCACAUUUUGUAGUCUUGGAUACCUCUCGAGCCAACUCGGAUUUUAGGAUCGCGUCAGCUUUCCUUUCAUUUCCAAGACUAUGUUUUUAUAUACACCAAAGUAUGUUUAAAAGAAUGUCAUCAAUAGGAACUUGUGUCCUAUAAAAUUAUA